CAAACACUCGGCUAUGGCUGAGGUCACUUCACAGAGAACUGGAAAUUGAAGGGAUUCCCGUCAAUUGGGGAAUGACUGAACAAUGUGGUGUGUGAUGGUGAUGAAAUACGACUGCACCACACGAAAUGAUGAGCAGGUUUACACCCGAAGUCACAAACUACUAUCAGGCAUUUGUAGCAUUCAGCUGGAAAAUUCAAAGACCCGUGUCACUUAG
RNAcentral lists this long non-coding RNA (214 nucleotides) under Monodelphis domestica (gray short-tailed opossum). Its description in RNAcentral is "lncRNA (ENSMODG00000041178.1)". Lineage: Eukaryota; Metazoa; Chordata; Mammalia; Didelphimorphia; Didelphidae. The record is from RNAcentral.